UACAGAGGGUGCAAGCGUUAAUCGGAAUUACUGGGCGUAAAGGGCGCGUAGGUGGUUAAAUAAGUGAACUGUGAAAUCCCCGGGCUUAACCUGGGAACUGCAGUUUAUACUGUUUAGCUGGAGUACAUGAGAGGGUAGUGGAAUUUCCGGUGUAGCGGUGAAAUGCGUAGAUAUCGGAAGGAACACCAGUGGCGAAGGCGGCUACCUGGCAUGAUACUGACACUGAGGCGCGAGAGCGUGGGGAGCAAACAGG
Molecule: ribosomal RNA, 253 nt
Filed under: uncultured bacterium
Lineage: Bacteria
Description: partial 16S ribosomal RNA
Rfam family: Bacterial small subunit ribosomal RNA
Source: RNAcentral